CAUAGUUUUUGCUCAAUACAUAUAAAUUAACGAAAUGCGAAUAGGGCAAAAAAUAAAGCAAUGUAUGACGAGAAGAAAACAAAAAAUAGUCUUGCAAUAUUCUUUGAAAAAUUAUAUUUUUGAAGGCUAAACGUAGCCUAAGUUAUUUAGCUCACUAUGACUGGAGAUGACCUAACACCUAGGCUCUUGCAUUUGGAAACAACAUGAGGAUUGCAGGUUAGAGAAGGGUUGAUGAUUCUAGUAUUGCAAAUGAGACAGGAGUCUCAUGGGAUUACAAGAACACCAAUAAUGUUCUUUUUUUCGGUUGUGAAUAAUGAUAAACAUCAUUUGCACACACAAAACUGACCAUUUAUUAGAAAAUGUGAGCAAAUAUGUCAUUUUGUACAAUAUCAUUGCCCCAAGAACAAAUAUUAGAACAAAAACUAUCUUGCAACAACUAAAUUGAGAAAUGGCUAGUUUGUAAGAACUAGAAAAAUGAUGGUUUUGUUUUUGUUAACCCAAUAGCAACGCUUUCUAUAGGUCUGUUAGGCAAAGCUUUUCCAUAAAUGAAUCCCAGCCAAAACCAAAACCAAAAAGAAAAAGGAAAAAGGAAAAAGGAAAAAGGAAAAAGGAAAAGUAAAGUAGGCCGACAACUACUUUGGCUAAAGCUAGUAGGUAGGACUGUCCGAUCCUUGCCUUGCGAAAGUUAGGUUUACCACCUCCUGGCAUGGUUUGGGAGCUUUAUUUGUUUAAUAUCCUCCUGAGAAUGCAAGCCUCCGCCGAUGUCAAUAAAGUGUGGAGUUAUAGAAAGAUGAGUGUGCGGGGUGCAAAGCCAAGAGUUUGUGCAUAGCACCAAAGAGUGCAAACAUGUUGAGAGAAGCUCUUCCAUCCGAUCUGGUCAUGACCAACAGAGGGGGAGAGAGAAAGCGAUCAGCGUCAACGCUUCUCAAGCAUUUGAGGAGUCGAGGACUUGUAUAUAUCAUUGCAUUUUCUGAAAAGUUAUGCAUCCGGAACAUGGUGUUUGGAUAAACUUGGUAAGAUCCUUCAAUGUAAAGAAUUUUCAAAGAAAUGAUAAGUUUGGCAAAUUUUUUACAAGGUGAAUCACGGAAGCACAAAAAUCAAAGGAAAAUUCUGGUACUUCUAAGGGAUUCAGCUUGUGAAAAAUUGAUCAAAUCUUUUGUUGCUUUAAAUAUUAUUUACACUCACGUAUAUUAGCAAGUUCAUUCAAACACCAUGUUAAGGAUGCAUAAUUUUCACAAAAUACAAUGAUUCAAGUCCUUGACUCCUCAAUUGCUUUGAGAAACUUUGAUGGUGAUAUUUCUUUUCCGUUUGGAAGCUCACUAUCAUCUAUGAAGGUUAAUCACCUUAUGAACCAAAUUGCUAUACAGAUGGUUUGUAAAGUUGUAGCGUGUAUCGCCAUGAAUAGGUAAUCUACUCCAUAUUGUUUGGUACGGUGGUGGUAAGUGGUAACAUAUUGGGAUCUCUCUCUCUCUCUCACUCUCUCUCUCUCUCUCUCUCUCUCUCCCCCCCCCCCCCAAUUCAUGGUGAUAUGAUGUAUUUAUACACACACAUAAAUAGCUGAAAAAGGAUUGAUGGAACGAAGGCAAUUUUGGCUUACCUUGAAACAAAGUUGAAAAAGUUUGAAGGGUGGAUUGGUUGUUCCUUUACUUUUUGUUUUAUUGGCUUACCUUCAUGUAUAAGUAGUAUUGAUACCCUCUCACACAUACAUAUAUGUAUCCCUACAACAUAACUCUGAUACAUGUUAUCAUAUAAAUUCAUAUGGACACAAUAUAUUAGCAGUAUUGAGAAAAUCUCUUGAUAAAAACAAAAACACAAUUGAUUUCUGAGCAAUAUUUGAAUACUUAUGUCCCUUUCUUAAUUGCAAUAGUUAGGCUGCAGCAAACAGUAAUUCGGUUGCUUGAUUAUGUUGGGAAUAAAAGUUAUCAAUGCUACGGAAACAGAGAAGUGAGAACAAACUGAACCAGAUUCACAAAAACAGAUGAGAACUUUGUUGUGUGACCGCAAGCUGUGGUGCCCAUGUAAUAAUGCCGGAGGAUGAACACACAAAGAAGAGGUAUCAGGGAUAACGAAGGUGGUGAAGAUAAUGAAGGCCGACUGGCCAAGGUCCAUGAGGAUGAAGAUUCUGCAUUAUGUUUUUUUUUUUUUUCCAGAAGUGAAGCUUGAAGGUUGCUGUUUGGUUCUACCUUUGUGUUUCUGUUGGCGCUUUGCGUGUUCCCUCAUCUUGGAGAGAAGGAAAGAAGAAAAUAAGGAGUUGCAAUCAUGAUUGAAGGUUGUAAUUAAGUUUACAUUUGUUUCUUCUUUUGGUGGAAAUUUAAGUUCCUUUGCAAAAUAAAUAGAAUACGAUCAGACGAGAUUAUUCUCGAUAACAAUCUAUGUAGGAGGCAUAACACCCACCCUUGCCCGAAGAAAGGGGACCAAUACUUCCCGGGAAAAAAAGGCUCAGUUAGAUUAUCC
Molecule: long non-coding RNA, 2454 nt
Organism: Pyrus x bretschneideri (Chinese white pear)
Lineage: Eukaryota; Viridiplantae; Streptophyta; Magnoliopsida; Rosales; Rosaceae
Exons: 2
Source: RefSeq, a predicted model, not a curated record